This is a ribosomal RNA of Pteropus vampyrus (large flying fox), 119 nucleotides long. The record is from Ensembl. Lineage: Eukaryota; Metazoa; Chordata; Mammalia; Chiroptera; Pteropodidae.
AGUUUCGGCCGCGCCACCCUGAACAAGCCGGAUCCCGGCCCAUCUCGGAAGCUAAGCAGGGUCAGAUCUGGUUAGUUCUUGGAUGGGAGACCACCUAGGAAGAAUAGGUGCUGUAGGCG